UGUCUGUAGCUGGUUGAAAUUGGGCCAAAUUAGAAAAAGGUCAAGCAUUUGGUCCCCUUCAACCAGCUGUAGUUG
This 75-nucleotide microRNA precursor is filed under the name Lottia gigantea (owl limpet). Its description in RNAcentral is "microRNA lgi-mir-133 precursor". Its record names the gene lgi-mir-133. It matches the Rfam family "mir-133 microRNA precursor family". Rfam says of the family: mir-133 was first experimentally characterised in mouse and homologues have since been discovered in several other species. The mature sequence is excised from the 3' arm of the hairpin. The record is from miRBase by way of RNAcentral. Lineage: Eukaryota; Metazoa; Mollusca; Gastropoda; Lottiidae.